Molecule: ribosomal RNA, 449 nt
Filed under: uncultured bacterium
Lineage: Bacteria
Description: partial 16S ribosomal RNA
Rfam family: Bacterial small subunit ribosomal RNA
Source: RNAcentral
GCCAGACUCCUACGGGAGGCAGCAGUGGGGAAUAUUGCACAAUGGGGGAAACCCUGAUGCAGCAACGCCGCGUGAGUGAAGAAGUAUUUCGGUAUGUAAAGCUCUAUCAGCAGGGAAGAAGAAAGACGGUACCUGACUAAGAAGCCCCGGCUAACUACGUGCCAGCAGCCGCGGUAAUACGUAGGGGACGAGCGUUAUCCGGAUUCACUGGGUGUAAAGGGAGCGUAGACGGCCAUGCAAGCCAGGGGUGAAAGCCCGGGGCCCAACCCCGGGACUGCCCUUGGAACUGCAUGGCUGGAGUGCGGGAGGGGCAGGCGGAAUUCCUGGUGUAGCGGUGAAAUGCGUAGAUAUCAGGAGGAACACCGGCGGCGAAGGCGGCCUGCUGGACCGUGACUGACGUUGAGGCUCGAGAGCGUGGGGAGCAAACAGGAUUAGAUACCCCCGUAUGA